AGAAGACAUAUACACAGAGAAAGAUGCAGAAAGCAGCCUUGAGGUAGUCACACAUUCAAACUCAUACACCAAACAGACAGGGUGGAAUGUACAGGGAACAUGAAGUAGAAGUUUACAAUUUAGAUGUACUCUUUGUUCAAUACCUCUGAGGGAAAGGCUUUCAUUUCUUUCCUUAACUCAUCUCAGAUUCAUUAUUAAUCAUCAAUGUGUUCAAUCUAUUCUCACAGGAAGUAUCUAUUAGCUGGUGCCAUCUUUUUUUUUUUUUUUUUUUUGCAUAAGCUUAAUGUGGGGAAGUAUAUAAUUCACCAUGAUGGAAAGCAAGGAGCCCUGCCAUCCGAACGAUGUCCAAGGGCUCAGAAUCAUGUACUUUAAGGACAGACCCCCAGGUCUGGGCUUGUGUUUCUGAGCACUCACCUCCGUAAUGAGCUGGAAUCUAUUUCAACCUGUCAAAAUCAUCACAACAGUUUUUGAUCCUCAGAAAUCUUCUGAGACACCUGGGCCUCAUUAUAAUCAUGAAAAGAGUUGACUUCCUAGCUAGAAUCCCUAAAGAGACUUGGGUAAUUCUGGAGACUUCUUCCUCUGCUUAUGCAGAUGUGCAUGUAUGUACAUUGAGAAUUAUAGAGCACAAUCAGGAAUAUAUUUAUGAGCAAGUUUUUAAACAGUAUCUAUUAUAGUCCUAAGUCUAGUUGUUGUCUCCUUGUUUGUUUUUAAUAAAAUCUGGACAGUGUUCCCAAGGUGUUUCUCUAUUUUACUCCUCACACAUUACAAGCAGGAUAUGAUAUUGUGCCAUAUACAACAUUAUUUCAGUUCAUCAUUUUCUUUAACUGAGGUGUUCCAGCAACUCUACAAUGUGUUCAAGCCUGAUAUUUUGUUUCUCACAGGAACUCUUGGUAUUAUUUUUCUUUGACUCACAGCAUUUUUCAUUUCUUUUUUCAUUUCAUUUUUGUGGGUAUUUCUAACUACUUAUUGAACUCAAUUUUCAUAUCCUAAGUUGUCUUCAUUUCCUUCAGGCAUCUGCUAUUAUUUCUUGUUCAUGAAUCAUUUUGUUCCUGUCCUCUCUGAGUUGAUUGACAUGCAUCUCCUGAUCCUCACUCUGAGUUUUCAGUUCUGUAUCUUGGAUAUCAUAUAAAUUGCUCUCCUUAGGGGAUAUAUACUAUACUUUAAGACUAGGACAUUUUAACAUCAUAAUUUAGAGGGACUAUUUUCUUUUUUGAGUUUUUGGCCCAGGAGUCUGGUAUUGCAACAUGAGAAGUUAGUCAACAUAACUUGGUUUUGAAUGGCCCAGAACCCAGGUGUAGUGUCCUACCACAUCCAGUUCUGGUCUGGAAUGGCCGCAACCUUGUGGGGAAGCUGUGUAGUGUAGGCCCUGGGCAUCCUGACAGCUGCAGUUGUGUGGAAGGCACCCUGCAACAGAGUUGGUGGAGUGGUAUCUGAGGGGAGGGAGGGCCUACUUGCCUGAUUAGAUGCAUUUCGGAAAACGACAAAAACAAGCAAUGAAGUAAGCAAGCCAGGAAAACCAACCAACCAAACAAACAAACAAACAAACAAACAAACAAACACAGCUGAGAGGUACUGGGAAGCUAAUUCAUUAAAAGGGUCCUAAGUCGGAGGGUUUUAAAGAAACAUGUAGCAGGAAACUGCUGUAUAUUGUGUGGAACCAGAAGGAGUUGUCCCAAGGAACUAGGCCAUAGUAACAGGAAAUACCACCACUCCUGCAUUCUCUGCAUAUUCUGGAUGUCCUCGUGGUCAGGAAGUCUUGGGGGGUGGGGGUGGGGCUAGAGCCAAGUAUUAGGGAAACUCGAAAACUUCUUUAGGGUACAGUUGCUGUGUGGGCAUUGUGGGAGAGUCACCUGUGAUAAGUCUGUCCUGGAACCUGACAUGUAAGAGGAACUGGCAGAAGUAAAGCAGGGGUGUGGAGCAGGGGUGAUUUUCUGCAGCCACUCUCACUAUUCUGUUGUGAAUAUCUUACAAUUGUCAAGAAGUUUGAGAUCCUAUUGAGGUAUCAAAAUGGAAGCCAGUAGAUGUAAGUUUAUACAAAAAAAAAAAUCGGGUCUCAAGGUUAGACAUGUCCAGCCAGCUGCAGCUGCUGGGAGUUACUAGCACUACUACAUAUUUUUUUCUGCCUUCUUUCCCCUGAAGAAAUAAAAUUCCUGGUCAGUCACCUAACGUGCUGCAUCAGGGAAGGUUUGCAUACCAAGCUGGAAUAUACACUGGUGUGAAAUGCUUCAGAGUUGAGUCCUGGUGGUCUUUGUGGUUUCAAUAUCUGGGCAUAACACUGUGAACUGGGGUUCAUUGUAAUGUUUUAAUGAAUUUUAUGGAUUCCAGAACAUUCUUCUAAAACAUUGUAGAUCCUAUGCAGUAUCUGUAGUUUGUACAUGGAGAUUCUCUUUGGUAAAGCCUUAAAGAGCUCUUCGAAUUCAAAUUCAUCCAUUCUUUCUUAACACCUGUAUUCCUCCAUUUGCCAUUUUAAGAGUACCUAUUUGCCAGGACAAUGAAUUCAUAUGCUUCCUCAGAGAGCUUUAUAGAUAUUAAUCAUAUGAAGAUACAGUGCAGGUUUGAUUGGAUUAGAAAGUUUACAUUAUAAAGCACCAUCAUAUGGAUUGUGACUAUUAAUAUUUAUUGUGUGAAGUUAUAUUCUCCAUUAAACAUGAAGAUAGGAUAGCAGUAAGGUAUUGCUAAAGAGAAGAUCUAUUGUAGGUUCUGUUAACCCUGAACAGACCUGCUUUCCGGAAAACCAGCUGAAAGAGUGGCUGCAGCAGGCCCCAAAUAAGGGAGGGGGAGGGGAAAGUCUAUGCUCUGGGUCACUGGCAGUCAGCAAAAGACAGACCCAUGGGUGAGACACAUGGGGACUGGGAACUAAUGCUUGGAGCCAGUGCUCCUGAGCCACUGAGAUAAAUUGUCCAGGCCUGACUUGGAAUUUUCAGCCAAAGGAAAGUAAGUGUCUCAAAAGUUAAGAGGAAAGUCUCACCCAAGGGAAUUAGUCCUAGAAUGAGGAUCAUGGAAAUACACGGUUAGCUCCAAGCUCAAGAACUCUUCGGUAGGACCAUGAGGGCAUUUACUCUGACCAAUGGGGGAUGGGGUUUCCCAGGACUGGGCUAGGGAGUGUUGGUCUAGAUGCAAACCUACAGAGUUUCUAAAUCUCAGUCAUGGUACUACAUGAUGUGUUU
Molecule: long non-coding RNA, 3167 nt
Filed under: Mus musculus (house mouse)
Lineage: Eukaryota; Metazoa; Chordata; Mammalia; Rodentia; Muridae
Description: long non-coding RNA chr4:147167680-147170847
Source: RNAcentral